GGAAAGGAAAAAACCCACACAAUAUUUAGAAAGACCAAAGUCGCAUAAAAGAACCUUCUAAUGAGAUGAAUAUACCCACAGGAAAACAAUUUUAAUUAGCAAAUUAACUACUCAUUUAUACUCAAAAUAAAUAGAAGUGCACUGAUGAUGUGCAUAUCCUUUCUCAAUUGACAGGUUUAAAUUGUUGAUAGGACCAAAUGCACGGCACAUUCAUGGCAACAAUUGUGAAUAAAAAGAAAAAGGAAAUAGAAUAACCUAAUUGAGCAACAAGCGACCAAGAAUACACUACAAAGGUGGUGCCGUGCGGCGGGCAAGAGUACAUUACUCAAGCUAGUAUGAAAAUACAUUAAGACAUGCAUACAGAUCUAGCUUUGUCACGAGUCCUUCACAGCAUUCUGCAUACAUAAAUUGAAGGGGCUUCUUUAAUAAAGGAGGCAUGUUAUACUUUGCCACUCAUGAGUUGCAAGCACAUUGUUGUAGUUGGAUAGCCACAAUCGGCAUCCUUCAAUGGGCUAUCACUGGCUUCAAGUAAGUCUCGUAUUUCAGUUUUGUCACUUUGUCUAGAUUUUUGGCCCUAAAUCAUGGGCGUUCUCAGUACACGCAACUCUGAAAAAUAGAGAGCACCCAUAUAAGCUUAAAUGCUUGGCCGAGGUCGGCUUAAAAACAGACUUCUUCCUUGGUUGUUGUAGAACUACAUGGCCUGAGCUGCAGUUAUUUUAUAUCUGCUAUUUUGCAUUGCCAGCGUUCAUGUGUCACCUCCAACCUGCAUCAACAAAAUAUGUAGGACUCAGUAGUAUACUGGACAACUCCAAACCUAAUGGAAUUGCAUAAUUUCCAUACACCUGCAUCAGGCUUGCCUAUCAACUACUUAGGUAAGAGUUGAAACCGAGUUCAACCGGUAAGCAAAAAAAAAGUUAGUUCAGGAAAAAAUGUCGCGCCCUUCUCGAGUCUUGACAGUAUGCAAGAAUCAUGCCUAAACACUAUGUGCAGACAUGGUGAGAGAUGCCACCACAUGUCACGGUUCUAGACCAGAAAACAGCUAGCCAUUCCUAUUAUGCAGAUUUGCAUGUCUUAGGGUGUAGUAAAAUUCUAGGUAAGCAGGUUAGCACUGCCAUACUUGUCAUUUGGAUCAAUACGGCUGUUAUACAUCUCUGAACUCCUCAGUCCAUCAGUAAAAGAGCAAAUCAUGUAAGGCUUGAUUCAUAUAAGUAAGUGUGCAUGUGCAAAGCACGUCUUGUCAGGAAUAAAAAAAUUUGAAUACGCAAAGCUAAUGUAGAGAAACCUGUAGAGAAAACCAGUACCAGGACAUAGUAAAAGUAAACUCUAGAGGAAAAUAAACGUGCAUUGACCAUAUAUGACUAUAAACGACACAACUAAGAAAGCAGUUCCAUGCUUUCAUGUGACAAACUUCAAUAAUGCUUAGUAGUUUGUACAAUAUAAUAUAAGCAAAUAUGAAAAUGAAAUAUGGUAAAAUCACCCAUUCAUGGCAGUUUAACCAAAUUAUAUAAGUUAACAAGGCAGAAGCAGAAACAGAGUUUUAGCAUGUUACCUUUCAAAUGAUUGUAAGAUAUCUAACAUCAAGGAGUGAUCCCGAAAGUCAUACUCAUAGCAGCCAGAGAGGACAUUAGCGACCUCCAUAGGUAAAUUGUACAGGAACAUCGGUUUCUCUUUCUGUAGGACAACUGACUGAUAAAUCUCAUCUGGUGAUUUGGCACACCAAGUCUGAACACCACUGAACAUCUCAAGAAUGCUCCAAGCGAAACCCCAAUGAGUCAGUAUAGUAACUAAUUGGGCCUCUGAUGUUUGGUCGCCAAUGUUCUGGGGCAUGUAAUUUGGAGUCCCAUGUCUUUGGAUAAGAUCUGGAUUUGGCAGCGGAAGUCCAUACGGCAAGGAUGGAAUCCCAAAUCCCCCAGCACAACAUGGUCAUUGUCAUCAAGGAGAAAAUUACAAGACUGAAGAUUCUGAACAAAUAUUCCCCUGGAGUGUAGUUAUAGCACACCAUGCGGCAAAUCGGUGCCAUAUCAGCAAGUUACAGGAAACCAUAAAAAUAUGUAGUACUACUGAAGAAAACAUCUUCUAAACAGAGCAUCUGAAAUUCAGUGCAUACAGUCAGAGGCAUGUUACCUCCAGAAAUCCCUAUCAAAAGACACUGGUUUCCUUCCACGCAUUACAUAUGCCAAAAGAUAGUAAGCAUAACAUUAACCCAUUUAGUUGUCUAGAUAACCAGAUUAAAUCGUAAGCAUUACAUGGUUAUAUUUCAGUGAAAAGGAAUACUGUUAAAUAAUGAUUGCCAAUGCAUGUCAUCAUGCAUAAUUCAAAAACCACACGUUUAAUCAUUUAGGGGGCACAUACAUUUAUUUUCAGAGCCUGCAACUCGUAAUGAAAUGCUAGACAAGUUUAUUGUCCUACUAAAAUAUAUGAGGAAAUUAUCAAUGUCAAAGUUGUUGUGCCUAAUGCCAAAACUAACUACUAUAUCAGGUCUGGUUACUGAGAUGGUGUUCGGUGUGAAGAUUAGUUAACAAAAAAAUGUGAAAAUACUUGUGUAAUUAGAACAACAAGAACUGUAAAUGUAUGGAUUUGGAUUUCACAACUUAAUGCCAACUAACACCGCAUUAGAAAGAAGGAAAGCCCGGUCAAGUAUACUUUGCAAUGAAAUUUGAUUGAAUCAUUAAAUUAUCAAGAGCCAUGUUGAACAAUACCCGGCGAACGUUCGCUGGUGAUGAGGUCCCAGUGAACACACACAGAACCACACAAUCAAGAUCCUGUGGAUGGCUGUUUUCUCAAAAAAUUGCACUAAAUUAAAGAACUGCCAUGGCAGUUUAUAAAAAAUGCCCCUUGCCCCUACCCUAAAAACUACCACCCGAGUCGUUCACAUAUGCCAUUCCUGGCAUACAAACGGCAUCUUUUUUUUCACUUUCCUAAACCAAAAGGAAACAAAUAUAUACUCGCUAUUCCAGUUUGACAAUAACAGCAAGCUACGUCAAACACUCAGUUUUAAAAAAGCUCAUGUUUCAAAAUAAUGUAGUGGCCUAGAAAUCGGAAUAUAUUUUAUGCUUUCAGAGCUAGUGAUUUGCAAACUUCCCUCUGUAAUCUAAUUUGUAGUCACAUUACAGACUGACUUUUCUUUAGUUAAAUAGCUUGUGCUAGCUUGCUUGAUGGUCAUGCAGUUUGUGAGUUGAUGAGUUGAACGAUUUGGUGGGUUGGCCAACAUUUGUGAAGAAAUGAAAGGUCCCACUUAUUGAUUAUGGUGAACAAACUAAGACUCAAAAUUGAUACGAGGCAAUGGGCAUAAGCUAAUCAGGAUUGCUGAUUAUGACUGGUUCCUUGUUUACAAAAUUGGCAUGCCAACCAUGUAAGAAGAUAACCAUAACUCCAAUGGGGGCAAAAGAUGCAUGAGGAAAAAUGAGAAAUAUUAUUGGGGCAAACAAUAUGCAAGACGGCUAUCUGCUCAGGCUAAUGAUGCAACUCGGCAAACAGAUGGCAUACGACUGCUACGUUUGUUUCACUCUACAGACAUUCAGAUGGCAAAAUCAGUGAGCUCACAUGGUCUAACAGUUGGGAUCAAUAAGCUACAACUUACCAUAAUUGGAAAUCCUUUUUCAUAUAAACCUUGCAGAUCACAAACUUAUGACCUGAGCAUGUAAAAGGAAUAUUUCAAUUGAAAGGGACGAACAACAGGGUGUUUUUUUACCUUGGUGCUACAUGGAGGUGUCCCAGGAGGACGCCAAUGAAGGGCUCGGCGGACCAAAUCUUAUUUAUAUUUGGAGCAUAGACCUUGAAGAUACCC
Molecule: long non-coding RNA, 3787 nt
Filed under: Triticum aestivum (bread wheat)
Lineage: Eukaryota; Viridiplantae; Streptophyta; Magnoliopsida; Poales; Poaceae
Description: long non-coding RNA (TAES_LNC016809)
Source: RNAcentral